Molecule: ribosomal RNA, 492 nt
Filed under: uncultured bacterium
Lineage: Bacteria
Description: partial 16S ribosomal RNA
Rfam family: Bacterial small subunit ribosomal RNA
Source: RNAcentral
GAUGAACGCUAGCUACAGGCUUAACACAUGCAAGUCGAGGGGAAACGGCAUCGAAAGCUUGCUUUUGAUGGGCGUCGACCGGCGCACGGGUGAGUAACGCGUAUCCAACCUGCCCAUCACUUGGGAAUAACCUUGCGAAAGUAAGACUAAUUCCCAAUGACAUCCCACGAAGGCAUCCGAAUGGGAUUAAAGAUUUAUCGGUGAUGGAUGGGGAUGCGUCUGAUUAGCUUGUUGGCGGGGUGACGGCCCACCAAGGCAACGAUCAGUAGGGGUUCUGAGAGGAAGGUCCACCACAUUGGAACUGAGACACGGUCCAAACUCCUACGGGAGGCAGCAGUGAGGAAUAUUGGUCAAUGGGCGAGAGCCUGAACCAGCCAAGUAGCGUGCAGGAUGACGGACCUAUGGGUUGUAAACUGCUUUUAUAAGGGAAUAAAGUGGGUCACGUGUGACUUUUUGCAUGUACCUUAUGAAUAAGGACCGGCUAAUUCCGUG